Rhipicephalus microplus (southern cattle tick) is the source of this 139-nucleotide long non-coding RNA. The record is from RefSeq and is a predicted model, not a curated record. Lineage: Eukaryota; Metazoa; Arthropoda; Arachnida; Ixodida; Ixodidae.
CCGACCUUAUGUAGGUUUGCUGCUGAGACAAGAUGCCGAUUUCUUUCCAAUCUGCAUUACCUUUCUACUUGUGUGCUGCUGUAAAAAAAAAAGAAAAAAACGUACUCCUAAAAACAUACUCCUAAAAUAAAAUAAUUAU